GAUUGAACGCUGGCGCGGCAGGCCUAACACAUGCAAGUCGAGCGGCAGCGGAAGGAAGCUUGCUUCCUUGCCGGCGAGCGGCGGACGGGUGAGUAAUGUCUGGGGAUCUGCCCGAUGGAGGGGGAUAACUACUGGAAACGGUAGCUAAUACCGCAUAACGUCGCAAGACCAAAGUGGGGGACCUUCGGGCCUCACACCAUCGGAUGAACCCAGAUGGGAUUAGCUAGUAGGCGGGGUAAAGGCCCACCUAGGCGACGAUCUCUAGCUGGUCUGAGAGGAUGACCAGCCACACUGGAACUGAGACACGGUCCAGACUCCUACGGGAGGCAGCAGUGGGGAAUAUUGCACAAUGGGGGAAACCCUGAUGCAGCCAUGCCGCGUGUAUGAAGAAGGCCUUCGGGUUGUAAAGUACUUUCAGCGGGGAGGAAGGCAGUGAACUUAAUACGUUCGCUGAUUGACGUUACCCGCAGAAGAAGCACCGGCUAACUCCGUGCCAGCAGCCGCGGUAAUACGGAGGGUGCAAGCGUUAAUCGGAAUGACUGGGCGUAAAGCGCACGCAGGCGGUUUGUUAAGUCAGAUGUGAAAUCCCCGAGCUUAACUUGGGAACUGCAUUUGAAACUGGCAAGCUAGAGUCUCUUGU
RNAcentral lists this ribosomal RNA (640 nucleotides) under Enterobacteriaceae bacterium AaM48a. Its description in RNAcentral is "bacterial SSU rRNA". It matches the Rfam family "Bacterial small subunit ribosomal RNA", at positions 27 to 654 of the family's 1533-position model. Lineage: Bacteria; Pseudomonadati; Pseudomonadota; Gammaproteobacteria; Enterobacterales; Enterobacteriaceae. The record is from RNAcentral.